GGAGCAGCCAGGGCCUGAAUGGUGCCCAUAUGGGAUCCUGGAGCAUGCCAGUUGAGGAUUUAACCACCAGACUGCUGUGCUGGGCCCCACUUCAUUUGUUUUUAUUGGGUGUGCAGAUGCCUAAUUUAGAUCUUAAGGAAAAAGUGGAACCUGACGUUCUUCUCACUGAUACUCAAACUUCCCCAGAUGCUGGCACCAGGAUGAAUCAUUGGCUGAAGAGAACAAGACGCCUAAAAUCUCAGGGAUGCCUCUCUGCACUUGGGACCUGAAGUGGCACUGUGUCACGUACCACUCUCCUUCAUGCCCCCUCAGAGCCCAGGCUGAAGAGAAACGCACAGUCUUGCAAGAGACGCAGCACAGACAUGUAGAAAAACAUAGGGUUUUCAAGCCAGAGUUGCCGGAGUCAGAGGAUGGCAUGUGAAUGGACGAAGCUCUGACACAGUUAUGCUUCCAAGUAACAGCAUCUUUUGAUGACUCUAGGAAGAACAAUCAUAUUACCUCAAGUCCUAGUUUUGCUGUAUGAAGACUGCAGCCCAAACCAGAAGAAGCAGGAACCAACUCUGGAACACUUAAGUGCCGCACUGCGGGGAGGGGAGCAAGACCUACCCUUGGAAGAUGGAGCCAUGGGCAGCCAGCGUCUGUGGGUGUGGGGGAACUGGCUGAGCCCUCCUGGCCCUGGAGCGGCAGGCAAGACUGUUUGGGUAUGGGGAGGCUGGCAAGCUGGCUCUGGAGAGGAUGGUGAUAAGACUGUGGGCACAGGAGGUAUAGGCAGAGCCAGCCUGGCUAUGGAAGGCCUAUGAACUGGAGGCACCAGCCCAGUCAAUGUGGUCCUGGAGCAGUCAGCUGCCAGAGGGUGGCUGUGGGCACUGGCAGAGCCUGCCUGGCACCAGUGGUUGGCAGGCAA
Long non-coding RNA from Ochotona princeps (American pika), 904 nucleotides. RefSeq lists it as uncharacterized. NCBI's taxonomy places the organism in Eukaryota, Metazoa, Chordata, Mammalia, Lagomorpha, Ochotonidae. The transcript is spliced from 3 exons. The record is from RefSeq and is a predicted model, not a curated record.